GGGGAUUUGGCUCAGUGGUAGAGCGCUUGCCUAGGAAGCGCAAGGUCCUGAGUUCAAUCCCCA
RNAcentral lists this transfer RNA (63 nucleotides) under Rattus norvegicus (Norway rat). It matches the Rfam family "tRNA". Rfam says of the family: Transfer RNA (tRNA) molecules are approximately 80 nucleotides in length. Their secondary structure includes four short double-helical elements and three loops (D, anti-codon, and T loops). The record is from Rfam by way of RNAcentral. Lineage: Eukaryota; Metazoa; Chordata; Mammalia; Rodentia; Muridae.